This is a long non-coding RNA of Podarcis raffonei (Aeolian wall lizard), 388 nucleotides long. RefSeq lists it as uncharacterized. The record is from RefSeq and is a predicted model, not a curated record. NCBI's taxonomy places the organism in Eukaryota, Metazoa, Chordata, Lepidosauria, Squamata, Lacertidae. The transcript has 3 exons.
CCUAUAAUGUUUGAGUAUGUGGCUGAACUGGAAUUUUAAUCCAAGCUGAUGGAGUUCAAUGAGACUUAUUCCCAGGCAAACCUCCAUUCCAACAGGACAGAAUUUAUGAAGACAACCAACUUGCAUAAACAUACCCAAGACAUUAUGAUAAAAUGGUUCAAGGAACCCAUGAAGUGGAAGGAGUACAGGAAGAAGAACAGAGGAGUCUAAGCCAUGAAUGUGCAUCCUUCAUCUCAGAUGCCUGCACUGAUAUUCUAUACAGCCUCUAGAAAAAUGUUGAAGAAUGUGCUUGAUUCCUUUGAAAAGUUCCCAAAUUCUUGGGAAAGUUAUGUGAAAGAGAAGGGCCCAUGCUACUGCUAUGACUCAAUAUUCAAAGUUCAAAUUUUGA